This 254-nucleotide ribosomal RNA is filed under the name uncultured bacterium. RNAcentral describes it as "partial 16S ribosomal RNA". It matches the Rfam family "Bacterial small subunit ribosomal RNA", at positions 524 to 776 of the family's 1533-position model. The record is from RNAcentral.
CACGUAGGGUGCGAGCGUUGUCCGGAAUUAUUGGGCGUAAAGAGCUCGUAGGCGGUGUGUCGCGUCGGCCGUGAAAACCUGCAGCUUAACUGUGGGCUUGCGGUCGAUACGGGCAUCACUGGAGUUCGGCAGGGGAGACUGGAAUUCCUGGUGUAGCGGUGAAAUGCGCAGAUAUCAGGAGGAACACCGGUGGCGAAGGCGGAUCUCUGGGCCAUUACUGACGCUGAGGAGCGAAAGCGUGGGGAGCAAACAGG